GGAGGGCCCCAUCAAGCUUAACGGUUACUUGGGAAGAGAAACGCCAUCAUUCCAAAUGUCUCCCCUUCCUCUUACUUCCCCUAGAUUUAUAGACUGAGCAGGAUGUCAUAUGAAGGAGUAAGAAUACAUAAGGGAGAAGAGUGUUGGAACAGAAAAAUG
Lepidothrix coronata (blue-crowned manakin) is the source of this 159-nucleotide long non-coding RNA. RefSeq lists it as uncharacterized. Lineage: Eukaryota; Metazoa; Chordata; Aves; Passeriformes; Pipridae. The transcript has 2 exons. The record is from RefSeq and is a predicted model, not a curated record.